This is a long non-coding RNA of Olea europaea var. sylvestris, 836 nucleotides long. RefSeq lists it as uncharacterized. The transcript is spliced from 2 exons. Lineage: Eukaryota; Viridiplantae; Streptophyta; Magnoliopsida; Lamiales; Oleaceae. The record is from RefSeq and is a predicted model, not a curated record.
GAUCUAGGGCAUAACACUUACAGGAAGUACUCGCGAUUUGUAGUACUACGUCAUCAGGCUUUCGUAAUCAAUAGAAUAAUAUAUGCAUUGGAUGAAAGAUUGUUGGAGGCAUAUGCAUUGUUAUUUAGAAUCUAUGAAAAAGGAUGGGAGGACAGAAUGCUGGUGUUUGUCAUGGCUAUAGAAGCAUGAAGCACUUCUUUAGGGAUUAACCGAUAAAACGAUGAUGUCCAUGGUGUGCAUAAGGAUUGCAGAAAUGUUUUGAGGUUGAACGCGAGACUAAUAACAGAGGACGAUUAUUCAAAACCUGCAGUAAUAAUUGUGGAAUUUUGAUUGGGUUGUGAAUGAAGAAUCAAGCGAUGAAUCAAAUAAUAUUAAUGAGUCAAUUAAUCCUGCACCCAUCAAAGAAGUUGAAGAUUUGCCAACCAUGUUCGAUAGUCUAGCUCAAAUAGCUGAAAAAUGAGACAUUGAGAUUUCAUUGAACGUGACAUUCUGUAAGGAAAAGCGAAGCACGGACGUGAACAGCAAAGGAGAAGGCCAUGAUUCAUGUGUAUAGAAAGACUGGGAUUUGCUGUUUUUUAAACUAUGUGUUUUUUGUUGGAAACUAUGAUCCUUUAAUGGCACGGUAGACUUAUAUUUUGUAGAGAUAACUUUUGCUCUUGCCGUAUGGUAGUCUUCAGUUAUUUUCAAUGAUAGUUUGUAAGGAUUUCAUGACUGCUAUGGGUAUGGGCCCCUUCUUCUUCUAUGGCUAUUAGUUUAUGUUGUGAAAUGCUUGUAACUCUUCAUGGAAGAGAACGAAUGAAGUUAAAAAUUACUGGAUGUCACUUGGAAUUUGUGGA